ACUGCAGUCGAGCGACUGAUUAGAAGCUUGCUUCUAUGACGUUAGCGGCGGACGGGUGAGUAACACGUGGGCAACCUGCCUGUAAGACUGGGAUAACUCCGGGAAACCGGAGCUAAUACCGGAUAACAUUUUUUCUUGCAUAAGAGAAAAUUGAAAGAUGGUUUCGGCUAUCACUUACAGAUGGGCCCGCGGUGCAUUAGCUAGUUGGUGAGGUAACGGCUCACCAAGGCAACGAUGCAUAGCCGACCUGAGAGGGUGAUCGGCCACACUGGGACUGAGACACGGCCCAGACUCCUACGGGAGGCAGCAGGGGGA
This 315-nucleotide ribosomal RNA is filed under the name Geobacillus stearothermophilus. RNAcentral describes it as "bacterial SSU rRNA". It matches the Rfam family "Bacterial small subunit ribosomal RNA", at positions 56 to 353 of the family's 1533-position model. The record is from RNAcentral. Lineage: Bacteria; Bacillati; Bacillota; Bacilli; Caryophanales; Anoxybacillaceae.